This is a long non-coding RNA of Meriones unguiculatus (Mongolian gerbil), 6219 nucleotides long. RefSeq lists it as uncharacterized. The transcript is spliced from 2 exons. The record is from RefSeq and is a predicted model, not a curated record. NCBI's taxonomy places the organism in Eukaryota, Metazoa, Chordata, Mammalia, Rodentia, Muridae.
AAGGGGGUUACCCUGGCUCUUUUCUCCUCUGAACCCCUCCGGAUUACAGUCCCAUCAUGCUCUUGAGACUUGGUGGAUACAAUAUCAAGACCGAAAGCCUGGCACCCACGCGGCCUCACACAAACGAAAAUACCGCCUUUGGGACUUUGUACGUUCAUCUGAUAAAAUGGGAUGUCAGAUUCUGCUCACAGGGACCUAUGCAUGCCAUAUGAAGAAGAGACUCACAGAACAGCACCUGACCCGGGUACAGGCUGGGCCCUCGCUUCCCUCCCUUCGUGACUCAGAGCUGACAUCUAAUCUGAGCAUUGCACCAUCUUUCUCAGCAAAGCCAGAAGCAGCUGAGAAGGUGCUAGUGCUGCCCCAGGGACUAUCUCCCAGGGACAAACGCAAAACAAAUCACUCAGCGACAGGAGGGCCCCUCUUCCUGGCGACGCACGGUGUCUGUUCAGUAGUUCCUGGCCUGCUCUGUUCCUAGGGGUUGCACGGGCAGACUGAGGUCACCCCCUUCUCAGAGUUACAUUGCUCUGUGCCAUGCAGCUGCUCAGAACCCACACUCCCAUCCAUCCCAAGCUUCCCCACGACAGAGGAGGAAGCACUGUCAACAAUGAGGCCAGUGACGUCUGUUGUCACCCCGACAUAGCCAACACCGUGGCCACCCUCGACAGUCAUGAAAAAACGACCAGUGCCAACAGUCCACCAGGGGACCGCAGGAGGUCGCCGGACAAGCUUUCUCAGCAUUUCCCAAAACUUCACCAAAUGACAGGGAGGCAGCCCAGUACGGAAAUCCCUGGUAGCGGAGACCAAGGAGGAGAGGACAGCACCCCGACGUGUUUCCCAUCGCUCACCCUCAGUGCACUGUGCUAGACGGAAUAUACAUACACCUCCAGCUAAAAGACCAACCCAAGACACAAGGCCUCUGGAAAAUUCCACUGUAGGAUCCAUGAAAGAAUGACCAAGUCUUAGAAUUAUUACGGGAAAAAGCAUCUUUACAGGUCCCAUGCCAGGGAGGGUGUCACGGAGAGCCAAGGGGACUGGGCCACAAUUUGAAAGAUUCAUUCAUACAGUGACUUCGUGUGCAGGGGCUGCUUGAGAGCAGGUGACGCACCCCUUGGCUCUGAGCCCCCGGGGCCUGAGGUGGUGAGCUGCUUUAACGUCUCCCUCUCUGAACCCAACUAAACCUGGAACCCUGGAACCCUACCGAACCCAGUGUGGACUGCCUGUUGCUGGAUGACUGCACCUGCUGCUGGCACCGACUGCAGAGCUGCCCGGGCCCACAGGGUGCCACACAGUUGGCCCAAGUGCAGAGGACCUGUGUGCCUAGGCCAUGCCCUUGGCAACUGCAAAGCCAACCUCAGCUAAAGGCAGCUGGGAGCGAGCACGACGGCCCAUGUGGGCAGCACUUCUCCCUGGUGCCCCUCAGGAUUUGGGAUCUAGCAUCUUCUGGUAGCUUCCCACGGGGCCCUGUAACAAGCCUCCGGGGAGCGACCUUGAGCCGCACUGUUCCUAGGCCUACAGGAACAACCUCAGGCAGCAGCAGGAAGGGCUGCUCCAGUGCAGGAAGCUAUGUCCUUUCUGAAGCCCUCAGCUCUUCAUGGAGCCCUGAGUCAGGAUAGGAGCCUCAGAGUCCACUUGAAAUAUCAUGGGAAAACAGCCCCCAAGCUACAUCUGUGCUCCGCCUCCAUCCAUCGCGGCCUUCAAGUAAUACCCACCACCUGCCAGUUUCUCAUUUUCUCUCUUGCAACAACUUAAAAUUUAAAAGAAAAAAAAAACUUAAUCACAAUUCAGGAAAACACACCCACGCAUCUUGCUCACUAAGCGUGAAGCCAUCCCCUCGCUCAGCUCGGUCUCGGCUCCACUACUGAGAGUGGAGGAGACGGAAAUGUCAUUUUACACCAAAAUGCUGCCUCCUCCUCAACCUGGGGGCCCCACCUGCCUGUGUGUUUGCAAGGCUAAUUCCAGUCUCACUAUUUGAAUACGCUGGCAAGCUGAGAAAACAAGCCAAUAGUUCAGAGGAUCCAAGGCAAACUCCAUCUGACAGCCCCAGCCCUGAUGGCUGCCAAGACUGAUUGACUGGCUGGUUAUAUUUAGAGGUGGGGGGGGGGAUCAAACAGUGUUGGGCCUCCAAACUCAAGAACGCUGUGUUGAGAACAACAGACUAGCAAAUAACCAGCCGACGGCCAUGCGGCUGCAUCAUCUGGCAUCUGCGAGGCACGGCUGGCUUCCAUAAACCACGGGGAAUUUCAGAAGCCACCCACACCACUGCAGAAAAGAAACAACAAACAACAGGCAAUUAAGGCCGGUUCUGCCCCGGCAUCCUCACAAUUAUUAUUUGGCAAUAAAUAAACAGACAAAUAAGAUCCGGUCCUUGCUCCCCAUCACCUCUGUGUUCCUGUUCUAAGACAGCUCGACGUGGAGCAAAGAUCACGCCGAGGUUCCGUGGCCAAGUCGUGAACCCUGGGAGGCUGCCUGUACAAAGAAAAGCUUCUGCUUUAAACUUGACCCUACCUCCGUAGGUUGGCACACUCCCGUAACCCCAACCAUCCAGAGAGUAAGCCCAGAGGAUCACGAGUUCAAAGCCAGCCUCAAACAAGUGAGAGACAUUGUCUCAGAAUAAUAUUUUUUUUUUUUUAUUAAUUCAGGCAGGAUUGGUAAAGCCUUACAAGCAUAGGAGUUCAGCCCUCAGAAACUGCUUUUUAUAAUUGUUGCUUUUUAGCUUUUUGUUUGUUUACUUAUUUUAAUAAAGCUAAGACUGAUAGCUCAUGAUUAUAAUCCCACAACGGGUUCCCUGGGACUUAAACAUUUUGGCUAGUUCCAAACGAGUAAGUGACUCUGCUUCAAUAAAAAGGUGGACUGUAUCUAGGCAAACACCGUCUGGCUUCUACGCACAUACGAACACACUCGUACCCAACAACAUAUAAGCACACACACGCCCAUAAAAAACUAAAUACGUCCUCUACUGUUAACUACUACAUGUGUAGAAAAAAAAAGAGCUAAGUUGCACUUCCCCUCUCCUCUAAAAGAUGGGAACACCAGCUUAGCCUAAUUGGAGAGCAGGGCUAUUAUUUACAGACCCCAAUACCGUUACCUACGACAUCCCAACAGGUGCUGCCACAUACAUGAUGUCAUUAAAGGGUGGUGCGGUUUGGAGGAGUCCAGGCCAUGGGGACAGACAGGCUCCGGCACAGAAAUGGGAACCAUCAGAACUACAGACCUGGACAAACUGCUUUGGCGAACCAGAGUUUCCCCGGCUGCAAGGCCAGUCGGGAUAACUUAACAUCCACCAAAGAGAGGGCUUCUCCACUCUUUCAGCAUUUACGGAGACUCUUACGACUCGCCAGACACAUGUUACGGAGGACGCUCAGACAUGGCUGGUAGGUGGCUCAGAAGUAGAGUCCUGGCCUUGCAUGUGCAGAAGUCUGGGUUUUAUCUUCAGCAGCAGGGAAGAAAAAGAUGCUAACAGAGAUACAGGUAUAAGGCAAAGAGACAAGAUGGGCUGGGUAAAGCUCCCAACAACGCCAGCCACGCAGGGAGUGUCCACACAAGGGACUAAUCUGCAGGGUUGACACUGUCUGUCUAAAGCAGGAGUUCACAAUGCGUGGGUCGGUAUAUAAAUAACCCUUUCACUUAACACCACUGGAAAACCCAAGAUAUUUACGCUACAACUCGAAACAGUAGCAAAACUACAGUUACGAAUUAGCAACGAAAAGAAUUUUGUGCCUGGGAGGGUCUCUACAACAUGAGGAGCUGUAUUAAAAGGUUGCAGCACUAGGGAGGUUGAGAACCACUGACUGCUCCAGAGUCUCUGUGCCAAGAAGUACCACCAACGCACCUCUCUGUGACAUAUGUGCUGCUGGUCCCCAUAUUCCCUGUGGGCUCCGUGUGACUUCCGCUCCCCCUCUCCAAGUUCCCCUGAGCACCCCAAAGAGCACAUACGGGUCCGUGUACGCUGGGUGAGAUGAAUGAAUGGAAACGCUACAGCUCUGUGUGCCCCAGGGCCUCCGCAGCACCCCCCAGGGACAAACACAGAGUUCAGAGAGUGCACCCCGGGCAUUCGUCACUUUCCCCAUCUGCUGACCUUCAAGGGAGCGUUUGUGUGUGUCACUGCGUCUCGGCCCAGGAUUUGUGUCUCUGAACAGAACUGGCUCUUUGCAAACAGUGAAAUGUUUUCUCUGAAAUGAAAGCCCGUUCUCUGGAUAUCACUGCUAACAGACAGGAAGUGCUGCGAGGUCUGAAAAACAGACGGCUCUGGGUUGCAUUUUUUUUCCUUUAAUUCUGUUUUGUUUUAAUAAAUUGAGGCUUUUGUUUUGUACAAAAAAAAAAAAAAAAAAAAAAAGAAUCUAGUGCCAUGGUGGAUAAAAGCCAGCAACGCUAAAAAGAGAACAGGGAGUGGGGGGAAAAAUGACAACAAAGGGAAAAAGAGAAGGAGGAGUUGUGGAAAAUAAAAGGGCCCAGGCAGAUCUGAGCAACAGAUCCAGGUUAACAGAGCAGAAAGAACAUGCAGGACCCAGGUGUCCCGACUGUUCUGUUUUUAGGACAAGUCUGCCACAAGUAGGGGUUCUGGGCUUGAAGGACGGGAGGGGGGGGAGGUCGGUCACUCACAUUCAAAUCCAAGGACAGAACAGAUGCUGCCCUUCUAGGGGGUGACAAGGGGAGCAGCAUGGUUUUUGUUGUUUGUUUUCCCCCUUGUAGGCCUGAAAGAUAAAGAAUGGGGAAAGGGGCUUCACAGAAUCGUUGGUCAGCACAUGGGUGGGAAACUGGGCUUAAAUGCAAACCCAUUAGAGAAGCAGAACUUUAAUUUAUCAAUUAGACACCAUCUGUGGAUUGUGCUCCUUGGAAUAACUGUUGAAUUUGACAAUGCACUGCGGCUUUACAAAGUUUCUGCCAUCCUUGAUGCUGUUUAAUUAAAUUUCUGCACUUAACUUUGAUUGCACUGCAAGCCUGAUGCCUUCCCCAGAUUGAGUUCCUCGGCCACCUGCUGUGUUGUAGCCAAGCGUGUUUCCAGAGCAGGGUAAAAUAUGUAUUUUCUUUGGUUUUUUUUUAAGCCUCGUCUUUUCUCAGCCUCCACCCUAGGGACUCAGGGCCCCUGCUGCAUGAAUGGACACUGUCUCCCAACUCAGCCCAGCCUUAGGCCUGUACCACCCACAUGAGAUCUUUCUGUUCUUUUAUCCUGUCUCACUGAGUUAACAAAACACAGUCCUAGAUGGUUACCAAAUGCAAGGAGAGGCGACUUAAAAUAGAAUCAAAUAAAUGAUCAUUUAAAGCAACAGAGAAGGCAAGCCUCAAGUGGCAGCUGCUUCUGACCCUGAAAAGACAAACAGGUCAGCACAAGGCGGAGGAGGCUCCAGGACUCACCCAGGGUGAGCAGCUUUAGGAAGGCAAGGUUCCCACAAGGUACACAGGAUUCUCCAUUAGCCUUUGCUCGUUAUGUUUUUAGUGACAAAAAAAAAAAAAAAAAAAAGUAAGAGCAGACCACUAUCUUACUUCCUGUCUCCAGAGACCCAAGUUUCCUUUAUCAAUCAGACAGGGAAGGAAUCCUACAGUGUUCGUUCCUGUGACUUAUGCACUUAGCACAGUCUUCAGGAUUUUUUUUUGGACAGUUGGCUAACAUUCUAUUCUACGUGUUUGGUUUACCCAGUCAUUAGCUGAUGGAUGUUACCUGGUUUCUAUCUUUGACCGCUACAAGCAAUGCUGCAAUGAUCGCUGAUGUUCAGAUACCUAUCCAAGCUCCUGCCUUCCAAAUAUGGCGUGGCUGUGUGCAUUACAUGUAAUACAUACAUGUAUUUGUACACGCACAUUGCAUACAUAACCAGAGGUACUAUUGCUGGAUCAUAUAAUAUUUCUAUGUCUAAUUAUUGGAAAACUACCAUGGCUGUACCAUUUAUAUUCUCAGCAACAUACAGAUGCAUUUCAACAGCUUUAUUCUUUUUUUCUAAAAUGUUUUAAUAUUUAUUUAUGAGGAUUUUGCUUAUAUAUAUGUAUGUGUACCACAUGUCUGCCUGGUGCCUAUGGAGGUCAGAAGAAAGUAUACAAUUAGGAUUCUCCGAAACACUGGGUGUGAUGGCACAUUCCUGUAAUCCCAUCACUCAGGGAGGUAGAGGCAGGCAGAUCUCUGAAAUCGAGGCCAGCCUGCUCUACAAAUUGAGUCCAGAACAGCCAAGGCUACACAAAGAAACCCUGUCUCAUAAAACCAAAUAAAAAAAUUAAAAAGACUCUCUGAAA